Molecule: ribosomal RNA, 434 nt
Filed under: uncultured bacterium
Lineage: Bacteria
Description: bacterial LSU rRNA
Rfam family: Bacterial large subunit ribosomal RNA
Source: RNAcentral
CAAACCGACACAGGUGGGCUGGUAGAGAAUACCAAGGCGCUUGAGAGAACUCAGGAGAAGGAACUCGGCAAAUUGAUACCGUAACUUCGGGAGAAGGUAUGCCCCUGGUACGUGAAGGCCCUCGCGGCCGGAGCGGAACGGGGUCGCAGAGAAUCGGUGGCUGCGACUGUUUAUUAAAAACACAGCACUCUGCAAACACGAAAGUGGACGUAUAGGGUGUGACGCCUGCCCGGUGCCGGAAGGUUAAGUGAUGGGGUGCAAGCUCUUGAUCGAAGCCCCGGUAAACGGCGGCCGUAACGAUAACGGUCCUAAGGUAGCGAAAUUCCUUGUCGGGUAAGUUCCGACCUGCACGAAUGGCGUAACGAUGGCCACACUGUCUCCUCCUGAGACUCAGCGAAGUUGAAAUGUUUGUGAAGAUGCAAUCUCCCCGCGGC